GGGGGGGGGGGGGGGGGGGGGGGGGGGGGGGGGGGGGGGCGGGGGGGGGGGGGGGGGGCUUCUGGGAUGUUAGCGGCGGACGGGUGGGUGGCGCGUGGGGGACCUGGCUAGCGGACUGGGAUAACUUCGGGAAACCGGAGCUAGUACCGGAUGCUAUUUUGACCCGCAUGGUUCACAAGUGCAAGACGGUCUUGCUUUCACUUAUCGAUGUAUCCGCGCUGCAUUAGCUCGUUGGUAAGGUAACGGCUUACCAAGGCAACGAUGCAUAGCCGACCUGAGAGGGUGAUCGGCCACACUGGAACUGAGACACGGUCCAGACUCCUACGGGAGGCAGCAGUAGGGAAUCUUCCGCAAUGGGCGAAAGCCUGACGGAGCAACGCCGCGUGAGUGAUGAAGGUCUUCGGAUCGUAAAACUCUGUUAUUAGGGAAGAACAUAUGUGUAAGUAACUGUGCACAUCUUGACGGUACCUAAUCAGAAAGCCACGGCUAACUACGUG
This 497-nucleotide ribosomal RNA is filed under the name uncultured bacterium. Its description in RNAcentral is "partial 16S ribosomal RNA". It matches the Rfam family "Bacterial small subunit ribosomal RNA", at positions 38 to 507 of the family's 1533-position model. The record is from RNAcentral.